This 838-nucleotide ribosomal RNA is filed under the name Ganoderma sp. Its description in RNAcentral is "partial large subunit ribosomal RNA". It matches the Rfam family "Eukaryotic large subunit ribosomal RNA", at positions 97 to 928 of the family's 3401-position model. The record is from RNAcentral. Lineage: Eukaryota; Fungi; Basidiomycota; Agaricomycetes; Polyporales; Polyporaceae.
AGCGGGAAAAGCUCAAAUUUAAAAUCUGGCGGUCUUUGGCCGUCCGAGUUGUAGUCUGGAGAAGUGCUUUCCGCGCUGGACCGUGUAUAAGUCUCUUGGAACAGAGCGUCAUAGAGGGUGAGAAUCCCGUCUUUGACACGGACUACCAGUGCUUUGUGAUGCGCUCUCAAAGAGUCGAGUUGUUUGGGAAUGCAGCUCAAAAUGGGUGGUGAAUUCCAUCUAAAGCUAAAUAUUGGCGAGAGACCGAUAGCGAACAAGUACCGUGAGGGAAAGAUGAAAAGCACUUUGGAAAGAGAGUUAAACAGUACGUGAAAUUGCUGAAAGGGAAACGCUUGAAGUCAGUCGCGUUGUCCGGAACUCAGCCUUGCUUUUGCUUGGUGCACUUUCCGGAUGACGGGUCAGCAUCGAUUUUGACCGUCGGAAAAGGGCUGGAGUAAUGUGGCACCUCCGGGUGUGUUAUAGACUCUGGUCGCAUACGACGGUUGGGAUCGAGGAACGCAGCGCGCCGCAAGGCAGGGGUUCGCCCACUUUCGCGCUUAGGAUGCUGGCAUAAUGGCUUUAAACGACCCGUCUUGAAACACGGACCAAGGAGUCUAACAUACCUGCGAGUGUUUGGGUGGAAAACCCGAGCGCGUAAUGAAAGUGAAAGUUGAGAUCCCUGUCGUGGGGAGCACCGACGCCCGGACCUGACGUUCUCUGACGGAUCCGCGGUAGAGCAUGUAUGUUGGGACCCGAAAGAUGGUGAACUAUGCCUGAAUAGGGUGAAGCCAGAGAACUCUGGUGGAGCUCGUAGCGAUUCUGACGUGCAAUCGAUCGUCAAUUUGGGUAUAGGGCGAAA